UGGGGAAUAUUGGACAAUGGGCGAAAGCCUGAUCCAGCCAUGCCGCGUGUGUGAAGAAGGUCUUCGGAUUGUAAAGCACUUUAAGUUGGGAGGAAGGGCAGUAAGCGAAUACCUUGCUGUUUUGACGUUACCGACAGAAUAAGCACCGGCUAACUCUGUGCCAGCAGCCGCGGUAAUACAGAGGGUGCAAGCGUUAAUCGGAAUUACUGGGCGUAAAGCGCGCGUAGGUGGUUCGUUAAGUUGAAUGUGAAAGCCCCGGGCUCAACCUGGGAACGGCAUCCAAAACUGGCGGGCUAGAGUAGGGCAGAGGGUGGUGGAAUGUCCUGUGUAGCGGUGAAAUGCGUAGGUAUAGGGAGGAACACCAGUGGCGAAGGCGACCACCUGGGCUCAUACUGACACUGAGGUGCGAAAGCGUGGGGAGCAAACAGG
Molecule: ribosomal RNA, 429 nt
Filed under: Pseudomonadota bacterium
Lineage: Bacteria; Pseudomonadati; Pseudomonadota
Description: Proteobacteria bacterium partial 16S ribosomal RNA
Rfam family: Bacterial small subunit ribosomal RNA
Source: RNAcentral